AUUGAACGCUGGCGGCAGGCCUAACACAUGCAAGUCGAACGGUAACAGGAAACAGCUUGCUGUUUCGCUGACGAGUGGCGGACGGGUGAGUAAUGUCUGGGAAACUGCCUGAUGGAGGGGGAUAACUACUGGAAACGGUAGCUAAUACCGCAUAACGUCGCAAGACCAAAGAGGGGGACCUUCGGGCCUCUUGCCAUCGGAUGUGCCCAGAUGGGAUUAGCUAGUAGGUGGGGUAACGGCUCACCUAGGCGACGAUCCCUAGCUGGUCUGAGAGGAUGACCAGCCACACUGGAACUGAGACACGGUCCAGACUCCUACGGGAGGCAGCAGUGGGGAAUAUUGCACAAUGGGCGCAAGCCUGAUGCAGCCAUGCCGCGUGUAUGAAGAAGGCCUUCGGGUUGUAAAGUACUUUCAGCGGGGAUGAAGGGAGUAAAGUUAAUACCUUUGCUUAUUGACGUUACCCGCAGAAGAAGCACCGGCUAACUCCGUG
RNAcentral lists this ribosomal RNA (490 nucleotides) under uncultured bacterium. RNAcentral's name for it is "partial 16S ribosomal RNA". It matches the Rfam family "Bacterial small subunit ribosomal RNA", at positions 30 to 507 of the family's 1533-position model. The record is from RNAcentral.